Molecule: non-coding RNA, 3264 nt
Organism: Pocillopora verrucosa
Lineage: Eukaryota; Metazoa; Cnidaria; Anthozoa; Scleractinia; Pocilloporidae
Source: RefSeq, a predicted model, not a curated record
CUAAUAAGAAUUAUGGCGGCCGUGACUUGGCGUGCUAGGAAAAGAUGUUUUGAAGUUCUUCAACAAAGCAGCCUUCGCUUAAUCCAAACAAAUGCCUCAUUAAAAUGCUCAGGAGAUUUAAAAUGCUCUCAUCUGCGAAAGAGAGGACUGUUGAAAGUGAGGGGAAGAGAUUCCGUAAAGUUUCUGCAGGGACUCAUCACAAACAAUGUGGAGUCUUUCCACAAGAAUGUAGAACGAAAAGCGAUGUACGGUGUGUUUUUGAACGCCAAUGGUCGCACAUUAUACGACACUGUUCUCUAUAAACACGAUAGAAGUGGCGACGUACCUGCAUUCUUUCUUGAGUGUGAUGUUAGUGUGAUUCCAGACCUUACAAAACAUUUGAAGAUGUUCAAACUACGCUCGAAAGUCGACAUCAUUCAUGCAGAAGAUUACGCGCCGUGGGUGAUAUUUUCAAUGUCAGGGACUAUUGACCUCAAAGAUGUGUCGAGUAACUCGGAUAUUAAAGUGCUGGUGAAGGAUCCUAGAGUUGAGCAGCUAGGAUUUCGUGCAGUGUUGCCUAAGGGCUUAAGUCCAUGUGUUUGUCUUGAAGAUGUCUACGAGACAGGAGAUAGCUUUGAAUAUGACGUACUGAGAGCUAAACUGGGAAUUUGCGAGGGAGUGGAUGAAAUACCGCCGGGAAAUGCAAUGCCCUUGGAAUACAACAUUGCAUAUCUUAAUGGAGUUUCUUUCAAUAAAGGCUGUUAUCUUGGACAAGAACUUACAGCUAGGACUCAUCACACUGGAGUCAUUAGGAAGCGAACGGUUCCAUUUAAAUUUAUUGACCCCAAAGCAGAUGCAAGCCACUUUGAGUCAGGAGCAAGAGUUAGGACCUCUGAUGGGAAAGCAGCUGGCAAGGUUUGCAUGAUAUAUGGACAGUAUGGGGUGGGGCUGUUGAGACUGGAACUGAUAAAGAAGGAAGAGGCACUCCUUAUAAAGAAUAAAGAGGACAAGGAUAUGGAAGUUAUUGCAUCAUUGCCACAUUGGUGGCCUGAAGAUAGUCAUGGCUUUGUGUGAAAUGCUCUGAGUGAUAAAGAUGCUGGUAGGAAUUUUAAUCAGAUCCAUUUAGCCAAGAAUGAUGAGCUGUUACAUAACUUAAUUGACUAGCUGUACUUUAUCAAAAUCUUGUGUCACUAGUAAUGAACUUUUGUCUGAGUAUUUUUGUCAUUGCUUUUAUGAAAGUCUUUAAGAGGUAGGAACUCUUGAAUCAUGUAGAAAGUGAUUUUGCACAUCAGUGAUUCUUUCAUGAGCACACCUUUGAUUUAGCCACUUCAACUGCAGAACUCAAGCACUUUGGGAAAGGAGUCCGAUCUACAAUUUUACAAAUUUCUCUUUAUGUGACAGAUUACCACAAGAAUAAAAGAACUGUUCAUUUUAAAGGUGGACAACAUUUUCAAACCUGUUGUGAUAAUCUUGUAUGUGUAUCACGUGACACUUAAUUAAUUAAGCUAGGGAUUUGAUGACAGUUGGGUUACUUAAGAUUUAAGUGUAUAAUUGAACUCAGCAGUAAAGGCAGACUUGUAGUAAGAAUGUUCCUGAUAUAGAAAAUCAAUAAUAGUCUGCUGAAACAAUUAGAUAAGGAAUUGCCCAGGGAAAUUGUGCAUGCACAUUUGGGUUGGAACAUCCUGUGACAUUGUAUGCAUGCAGGUGUAAGCUGUUAAAAUCAAGUUGACAGGAAAUAGCUUGGGAUUUAGUAAAUUCUUGAAUAAGUAAUAUCAAUCUUGGAUUUACAUAGUUUAGGCAUGUGUUUUCAUUGUAAUAGGAGAUAAAUAGAAUUGUUAUCUCGUAACAGAAGAGACUUGAGAUCAUUUGAAUGUAGAAAGUUCGGAUAUUGUAUGGAUUGUAAAUAACUCAAGAAAUCGGAAAGAUAAGUCCUAUUGAUUGUUGAACCAGCGCUCUGCAGAGAUUUUCCUUAACGCAAUGGAGAAUUCUGCAACAAAACUGGAGCUGCUGUGCUUGUCAGAUAAGUACCAUUGAAACUCCUCCCCAGUUCCUGUAUUCAUCGGUUGCAUUUGUAUCAGGAUGGGUAUAGGGCUGCAUCACCCCUAUCUUUCAUAUUGUGUAUUGGGAAACAAACUGAAAAUAAUGCAAGUAUAACCUGUUCUUUCCCAAGAUCUAAUCAGUAAUUCUCCUUACUGUCUGUCAUACAACUCUCUUGAUGUUAAUUUAGAGAAUUUGGUAUUGGAUCAACCAAUAUUUCCCUUGUUGAUUUUUUUCUUUAUUCUCAUCACUUGUCUGCUUGAUACUGUAUUGAUGCUGUAAGGGGAAAUUCGAUCUUGGUCACUUAUAGGAGUUAGAGGGAUUCUUAAAAAUCAUUUUCAGGGUGUGAAAUUGUUCCUAAUACAGGCGCCAAUGCGACUACAUUUUUCACUUUGGCGACCAAAUUCUGGAAAUGAGUCGCCAAAUUGGCAACUGGAAUGUUUCAUCAUAACCUUACCAAGAGAUAUAGCAAAUUAAAAAUAUUUGCAAAGGCAAAUUCACAGCAAACUUCCUUGUUAUGUUUGUUUCCAAAAUGCAGCAGAUGCAUCUUGAUCGAUAACUUGAUGCCAUCAUGGAUUUAGGUGAGCUUGAAAGUUGUAUAUCAUCCAUCCUAGUGUCUACUUGCUGACAGCGUAAAAAAAGUUUUGUUUGUCUAAUUAUUGACUAUACUUUGUACUUAGAUAAUUAUUGAUGAUUCUUUUGAACUCUUAUCUGACAGUUUGAUUCACCUAUUUAGGCACUAGAAGGGGGAGGAUGUUGGAAUGGAAUGUCGGGUUUUCUCCAGUUUGCAUCUGAUAACAAAUCUGAAAGUUUUCUGCCUCAGAAUGAAAAUUCCUCCAAUCACAUUUCAUGCGACUGCAAGUUUUUUGACAGAUUGAAGCUAAAGAUACGCAGCAACAAAUUCCACAAGUUUUCUUUUGUCAGAAAAGCCCUGGAUUAUUUUCAUCUGUGUAAUGAAUGCCCAUGCAUAUUAUCAAAUACCACCAUUAGACUCUGACUAUUCAUGGUAUGUAUCACCUCUGUGUUAGAAUAAUUACGACCAUGUGCAUUAAGGUUGAUCAACUAUUGCAUUAAAACAGUUAAUGGUUUCUGCUUGUUAUAAUGUGAAUGUCUGUCUACUAAACCAUUCAUUUCAAUCUGCUUCAGAUCAGUUGAGGCAAUUCACAGUAUUAGAUCUGUGUCUGAACUUGAUAAAUUCUUCACUUGGAAGGUGAUAUUUAAAGCAAUGAUGCUUGGUACAAACUGUAA